RNAcentral lists this transfer RNA (77 nucleotides) under Acidimicrobiaceae bacterium. RNAcentral describes it as "tRNA-Arg". It matches the Rfam family "tRNA". Rfam says of the family: Transfer RNA (tRNA) molecules are approximately 80 nucleotides in length. Their secondary structure includes four short double-helical elements and three loops (D, anti-codon, and T loops). Further hydrogen bonds mediate the characteristic L-shaped molecular structure. tRNAs have two regions of fundamental functional importance: the anti-codon, which is responsible for specific mRNA codon recognition, and the 3' end, to which the tRNAs corresponding amino acid is attached (by aminoacyl-tRNA synthetases). tRNAs cope with the degeneracy of the genetic code in two manners: having more than one tRNA (with a specific anti-codon) for a particular amino acid; and 'wobble' base-pairing, i.e. permitting non-standard base-pairing at the 3rd anti-codon position. RNAcentral also lists the same sequence under 2 other names. The record is from RNAcentral. Lineage: Bacteria; Bacillati; Actinomycetota; Acidimicrobiia; Acidimicrobiales; Acidimicrobiaceae.
GCGCUCGUAGCCCAAUUGGAUAGAGCAUCUGAUUACGGAUCAGAAGGUUGGGGGUUCGAGUCCCUCCGAGCGCGCCA